Molecule: ribosomal RNA, 367 nt
Filed under: Bacillus subtilis
Lineage: Bacteria; Bacillati; Bacillota; Bacilli; Caryophanales; Bacillaceae
Description: bacterial SSU rRNA
Rfam family: Bacterial small subunit ribosomal RNA
Source: RNAcentral
UCUGACGGAGCAACGCCGCGUGAGUGAUGAAGGUUUUCGGAUCGUAAAGCUCUGUUGUUAGGGAAGAACAAGUACCGUUCGAAUAGGGCGGUACCUUGACGGUACCUAACCAGAAAGCCACGGCUAACUACGUGCCAGCAGCCGCGGUAAUACGUAGGUGGCAAGCGUUGUCCGGAAUUAUUGGGCGUAAAGGGCUCGCAGGCGGUUUCUUAAGUCUGAUGUGAAAGCCCCCGGCUCAACCGGGGAGGGUCAUUGGAAACUGGGGAACUUGAGUGCAGAAGAGGAGAGUGGAAUUCCACGUGUAGCGGUGAAAUGCGUAGAGAUGUGGAGGAACACCAGUGGCGAAGGCGACUCUCUGGUCUGUAAC